Cotesia glomerata is the source of this 677-nucleotide long non-coding RNA. RefSeq lists it as uncharacterized. Lineage: Eukaryota; Metazoa; Arthropoda; Insecta; Hymenoptera; Braconidae. The transcript is spliced from 4 exons. The record is from RefSeq and is a predicted model, not a curated record.
UGGAUCCGCGCCGUUUUGUUUGAGGUAGUCUUGAUACGCUGAAUACGCCACCCUGACUCCAAUACUGUCAGCCAAGUUCUCAUCAACGCAUCUACUUCCAUUGAUCUAGAAUCAUCAAUAUUAAUUGAGUCAUUGAUGAAUAUCUUGGUGUUUCAAAAAAAGCCGGCUUAUACCUUAACUCCGAGUUUUUCUGCAGCAAGAUUACAUUUUUCAAUGAAGCAUUUAAUUUUUUCUAGAUAACGAUUUUGGGUGUCAAAAGCGUGCCCCAUUUCAUGGCCGAUUAAUGUUCCAGCUCGCCCGUAGUUUAUGUAAUUAGGACGGUCGAUAUUGAAGAAGAAACCUUGAAGUAUGCUUGGUGAUAUUUCUGUAAUUUCAAGUUUUGGAAUAUUUACCGGCAUUCCAUAACCUGCGCACAGCUUAGCGAGGUUACUCCCAAUAAUUGGGUUGGUUAAUAGCGACAAAAUGGCGAGAAUUUUAAUUAUUGUUAAAGAUACCAUCUUUGAUAAUUAUUGUUUGAAGACUAUUUUUGAGAUAAAUUUGUUCAAGUUCUUACUGCAAGAAGGACUGACAUGUAUCCAGCAGAUGUUUUUAUCAACUAAAUAAUUACAAUCAUUUAUAAUUAAAUUAUAUUUACUUAUAAUUAAGGAUUUUGAUUAGAUUUUUAACUUACCUUAGCA